Molecule: long non-coding RNA, 20015 nt
Organism: Mus musculus (house mouse)
Lineage: Eukaryota; Metazoa; Chordata; Mammalia; Rodentia; Muridae
Product: predicted gene 11750
Exons: 3
Source: RefSeq, a predicted model, not a curated record
GGUCUGUGUGUUUGCAUGUAUGUUCAUGAGUGUGUAUGUGUGUGUGUAUGUGUAAAACAUCUAUAUGUCUGUAUGUGCAAAAGUAGACCCCCACCUAUACCAUGCUCACAGGUAGAGGACAGAAACAACCUCACGUGUUGGUCUUUACCCUUCACCGUGUUUUGAGGCAGGGUCUCUUGUUUGCUGCUGUCUGCCAGGCUAGCUGGCCCGUGAUCUUCCAGGAAUUCUCUUGUCUCUCCAUCCCGUCUCAAAACAUGAGCAAUGGGAGUAAAGCUGGACAUGGCCACACACAUCUAUGGUAAGUGGCUUUAACUGCUUAGCCAUCUCCCUAGACCACAUACCCCUUGAAUCAUUGCUAGGACACCGGUAAGUCCUAGUACAAGGUAGACACCGCAUGGAGAGCUGCAGUAUCUGUGCUUGUGCUUGUGCUUGUGCUUGUGCUUGUGCUUGUGCUUGUGCUUGUGCUUGUGCUGGGCAGCUUUAUGUCAAUGUGGCACAAGCUAGAGUCAUCUGAGAGGAGAGAACCACAAUUGAGAAAUCGUCUCCAUAAGAUCGGACUGUAGGCAAACCUGUGGAGCACUAUCUUAAUUAGUGAUUGAUGAGGGAGAUCCCAGCCCAUUGUGGGUGGUGCCAUCCCUAGGCUGGUGGUCCUGGGUCCUAUAAGAAAGCAGGCUAAACAAGCUAUGAGGAGCAAACCUGUAAGUAGUACGCCUCCAUGGCCUCUGCAUCAGCUCCUGCCUCCAGGUUCCUGCCCUGCUGGAGUUCCUGUCCUGACUGCCUUCCAUUGAUGAACAAUGAUCUGGAAGUGUGAGCCAACUAAACCAUUUCUUUUCUCCCCCAAGUUGCGUUUGGUUAUGGUGUCUCAUCACAGCAAGAGUAACCCUAACCAACACAGUACUUUCCAUGGAGUAAGAAUGGUGUCUGCAUUGCACUGUGCUCUGUUGUUUCUAUCUGUGGUUGGUUGAAUUCUCUGACAAGGAACACAGGACACAGAGAGAUGUUCAGUCUUGUGUGGCCACUGUGACCCCAGGUGAUCUGCCUACUAUGAAUGGGGUCACACUUGCUUCCUGAGAUGGACCCUUGCCAUGUUUCUGGAAUGAGUAGAAGGAGGUAGACCUAGGCUCCUCAGUGACAGGGACAUCACCAGAGUCCACUACACAAAAUGAAUAGCUGUUCCCUAGGUGAGCAUUGUGUCUCCUUGCUGGGGUGUCUGCAGGCAGGGGUGGGUUUGAUAUGGCUCCUGACAGUGGACUGGCCUUUCUAAUCUCCACAAAUGUCAUCAACUUCCAGAGAGCUGUGAAAUUGUCCAACUAAGACACACACUCGCUAACUUGCCCAAAAUCCCGCCCAGCAUUUCAGUGACUCUUCCCACCCAAGCUGCUGCUGGGCCCCUCCACACAGUGUUCCAUUGCCCCUGGACAGCAGCAGUACCCACAUACGGGCAGCCCCCAAACAAGAGGCAUUAAACAGAUGCACUGGAUCCCAAGGCCAAGAAUGAUACAGCUACUGACUACAGGCAUGCUGUCCAGAGUGCGGGGACAGUUGGAACAUAAUGGAUAGAAUAUCAUUCUGAAAGCUAGGGCCACGUAGAGAUGUCAGCAUGGGGUGACACACCCGGGGCUUCUGGAAGGGAAAGGCUGGCUAUGGUUACCACAGGACACUUGAGCCGCUAUAGGGAAUAGAGGUGCAGCACUGUUGUGAGGCAGUUAGAACAUAGGAGGACCUACGUUGAUGCCUGAGAGCAUGUGUCACAGGAUGACAUCCAGCCAUUUCUGCAUGGCAUCCCAGCGCUGUACCUUCUGGGUAUGCUAAAGCAGGACCCAGGAGGAAGGAUACUACCGUCUCUCCAGGACAGUCAGAGGGCACUUUCACCAUUGUCCCUUCCUGGUUGUUCCCACCUAGCUCCAACACCCUGAAUCUGAAAGUCCUACCAUUAUUUUAAAAAAAAUCAUUUUAUAUGUAAAUAAGAGGAUCUCACAGUUUAUCUCAGCUAUGGGAGGUACCAGGAAGCUCGAAGCCUUGAGUGUCAGCUCUGUGUGCUAAUACCUUGCCUUUCACUCACCCCUCAAUGACAGACUUUGUGCUUCUUGGGCAAGCAGUACUCCUGGGGAUCCCAGUGUAGCCAGAUGGUACAGGCUCUGUAGGGUGGUGGCACAUGACAGUUCUCUGCUCUGGAUAGGCAAUGGAUGCUGGGGGUAGAAGGUGCCUGACUGGAGGACACCAGGUGAGGACAGGCAACCAGAAAGCUGCUCUGUGUUCCCAUGGAGGUUGCAUCCACUGGUCCCAGCACCAGAACUUGCCAAGUCCUACCAUGCAGAAGGGACGGCAUGAUACAGUUCCUGGGAGCAGAGCUAGCAGCUAGUGGGCUCCACAAGUGUUGACAGUUGAUAGGUAUGAGGCUUGUUUGCAUAAUAAUGUACAUAAUUGACUUUAUGUUGUUCCACCGUUGGGAAUGCUCUCUCUGCCAAGGUUAAUGACGCCAUAAUAAUUAGAAGCAGUAUGAGUCUGGGAGGUGAGGGUGUAUCUAAUAUCCUCAGCAAAAAUGGUAAAUGUGGUGACCUUCGCAACAGCCCCUUAAGGCUGUGGGAAAGAACUCUGAAAACCUGCGUACAAGAAAGUAUAAUUUCUCAAUUAUGCAAUAUUUUGCAUAAGGAUGUAAUAUUUACUACAUAAGAGGUUCCAUGGACCCAAAAGAACAUAGGCAGCUGCGCUAUGAGCCAGCUUGUCAGAAAGACAUUAUGGAAGGAGAUAAAGAGAUUUAGGGAGUGGUGACUGUAAGGCAGGAUGCUACCCAGCUAAACUUAUUGUUUGUGCUUACAAUGGCAGGCAGAUUCCUGAGUUCAAGGUCAACCUGGAACAGAGCUAGUUUAGGCCCAGGCUUGGUGGGAAUGGUGACCUCAGAGCUGGAUCCCACCCAGAUAGCUUAUGGUCUAUGAUUACAAAGGCAGGCAGAUCUCUGAAUUCAUUUACUAUGUUAAAAAAAUGUACUUCCUGUCUUUUCUAAAAGUCCUGGAGCUACUGUCAUAAAAUGUUAAUUCAUGGGAUAAUCAAAAGGGAACCUGGGGUGAAGAAUUGAAUUGAUAUGCAAAUAAAAGACUGGGCUUUGGUCUGUAAGAGCUAAGCUGUCUGGAGAUCUCUGGAGAACUGUCUGGAGAGUCAUCUCAAGAAGACCAUAGAGCUCUCAGCUUGUACCCACAACUGACUUUAGGUCAUUUCUUUUGCCACUUCCAAACACCCUUUCUUCAGGAAACCCUCUCCAAGCUGAGGCUGCUCCUUGCCAAGAACUCAUAGCCUUCCAGAUCGCCUUUAACAGAGGCUACACCACAAAGGCCAAGAAUUAAGUUCCUCCACACAGUGUUGGAUAUUGGGAUACUUGGUUCUUCAAAGUGGUCAUCGGGAUAAUUCUAUUGGAGUUGGCAGGCAGGAGGAUAUUUGAGGCUAAGGAUGAUGGGACUUAUGAUUGUAAUCUUAUUUCUGCACUCCAUAAAUAUGUUAGUGGAAAUAGAAAUAUUCCUAAAAGGACUGGUCUUUUGUAGUGGUCAAAUGCCCAUUGAGAAACAGCAUGGGCAUGUUGAAUGUGGUAUAGUCAAGUAAUGGAGUAUUACUCAGGGUUGAAAAGGGGAGGUUAUAAUACAUACUAUAAUGUGCUGCUAAAGGCCAGAUUUGACUUCAUACAUGUAAAACAAGCAGAAGGGGUCAAUAAUCCAGAGAGAAGGUAGAUUGGCGCCUGAAGUGGGGAAGUGGGAGGCUGGAAAGGUAGGGGUAACUUCUAGAGGUGAACUUGCCUUUUAGGGUAAGAAAACUGUUCUGGAACUAGAGGUCAUAGUUAUCCAAGUGGCACCGUGUCACACACUUUGAAUAACUGAUGGUUGAUUUUUGUCAUGUAAAGUUUAGCAGGGUUUGGUCUUUGGUUUGGUUUUUUAAGACUGAGUUUCUCUGUAUAACCCUGGCUGUCCUGGAACUCACUCUGUAGACCAGGCUGGCCUUGAACUCUGAGAUUCACCUGCCUUUGCUGGGAUUAAAGGUAUGCACCACCACAACCACCUAGCUAGUUUAGCAGUUUUUUAUAAAAACUUGGUCCCUUUGCUGCAUCUCCUGUCAGCUGAGUUCAGACACUCAUCUGUCCACUUUGACUUACAACAACUUCCUAAAGGGCAUCUGGUCUGAGGCCUACUCAGCGCUCAGCAUCAGCUCCCUGAAUCAGCUUCCUUAGCUGCCCAGAGCCAAGCACUGUGCCUGACACUGCCUGAAAAAUAGGAUCAAGGGGGAAAGAUAGCUAAGUGCCUUACAGUGAAGGCCUCCUACUGCUGCCAUCCAUGUGUGGCCCUAGUAGGUCAGCUUCACUCCAGUAGAUGGCCCCACACCGAUGAGUAUAUAGGCAGUGCACACCCAUGAGUAUAUGGGUAGCUCAUAUUCAUGAGUAUAUGGGCAUGUCAAACCCAUGAGUAUAUGUAAAGCUCACACUUAUGUGUAUAUGGGUAGUUUACACCCAUGCGUCUAUGGAGGGCAGCUCACACCCAUGAGUAUAUAGAAAGCUCACACCCUUGAGUAUAUAAGCAGGUCACACCCAUGAAUAUAUGGGUAGGUCACACCCAUGAGUAUAUGAGCAGCCCACACCCAUGUGUAUAUAGGCAGAGCAUACCCAUGAGUAUAUGGGCAGCUCAUACUCAUGAAUACCUGGACAGAUCACAGCUAUGUAUAUAUGGGUAACUCACACCCAUGAAUAUAUGGGCAGUUCACACCCAUGGAUAUAUGGGAAGCUCACAUUCAUGUGUAGAUGGGCAGCCCACACCAUGUGUAUAUAGGCAGGUUAUACCCAUGAAUAUAUGGCCAGAUCACACCCAUGAAUAUAUGGGCAGCCCAAAUUCAUGUGUUUAUGGGCGGCCCACACCCAUGAGUAUACAGGCAGCUCACAUCUAUGUGUAUAUGAGCAGCCCGAACAAGAUUUGGUGAGUUAUUAUGAAAAUAAAAAGGAGGGCUUAAAAUUUGGAGAGGUAGGGAAUGGUAGCAAUUUGAGUGGAGUUAGAGAGAGUGUUAGGGGUGUCUAUGAUAAAAUAUAUUGUAUGCAUGUAACAUUUUCAAAGGUUUAAUAAAAUGUUAUGUGAAAGAAAAGACAAUCUUCCAAGGCUUCAGUUCUUCUUGAACCCAGAGCAGAAGGGGAAAGGAAGGUGAUGAGGCCCCUUGCAUACAGUCCCUUCUCCACUGAACCUUAACGGCACAUCUGGGUGGGCCCAGACAGUGUCAACUGGACACUGCCUGUACUUACACCUCCAUAAUACAUGACUUGUUCCAACCCUACUCCCAUAGGCCUCAGAGGGUGAGAAGGAUACAACCUGGCUCCUCCUGGAAGCAGGACAUUGGGAAUGUUUGUGAGGGUUUAUCUUAAUUGCAUUAAUUCUCGUGGGAGGAUCCAUGCGGGCAGUGCCACACCCUGAGUUCAGCAUCCUAGACGGGAUGAAAGGAGUGAGCAGGCUGAGCCCCCCUCAUUGCUCUCUGCUCUUGAUGAUAGAUCACUAAGCUCCCUCAGGUUCCUGCCUUGGCUUCCCCACAGCGAUGGGCUGUAGCCCGGAACUGUGGGGCAAAGAUCCCUUCUUCUCUAAGCUGCCUUUGUCAGGAUAUUUUGUCACAGCCACAGGAAACAAAGCUAUCGCAGAUGCAGAGUGCAAUGGCUGGUUGGUGUCUGUGUAAGAGAUAGGAGGGAUCUGGGCCUGUCACCGCACGCCUGGAACAGUGGCUUCCGUAAGCUCGGACACGCAGAGGAGGUCUUGGCUACAUAGCAACGACCUGUCUCAAAAUCCACUGAGGAAAAGAAGGGAGAGGUGGUCUGGGGGUUAGGCACAGGCUAUUGGGUUGUGUAAGGACAAUGGAGACAGACUCAGGAAGGAGGCAGCUGCAAGCCAAGGAACACACGGCUGCAGUGGGUGGAAGGGCACCCUUCCUUUAAGCCUGCAGAAGCCAUCCCACCAUCCCUCACUCUGCUCUUCAGAACUGCAAGACAACAAUGACAGGCCACUGUUUGCAGCCACCAGCAUGGUGGGACUUCUGUGCCGGCCCUGGGGUGUAAUCCACCUAUCUGACACAUACCCUGUCUCUCUGCUCUCUAGAAGCACAGAUGCGGGCUAUGAUGACGAUGCCCUGAUCCUCUGAGCCGGGAAGUUCGGCACUGUGGUGCAUGCCUGAGAUCUGAAGAGGCUGAGGACUGUGCCUCAAAAACAGCAUCAACCAAGAACAUAGCACAGGCACGCAAGUGCCCGCCUGGUGAAAUCAGAUGGCCACGGUCCUGGACCAAGAGCUGGAGGACCUGCCAGUGGGUGAGUAGAACCCAGGGCGUGUUCGUGGCUCCAGCUCUGAGACCAUUCCCACCUGCCAUUGGCUUGAGAAGUGGGGUAAUCAUGAAUUCUGGCUUGCUGGGAUUAGAAGUCAAGGAUAAAAACCCUGGCUUGCUUCCCCACCCCACCUCACCCCCUAUUUUUCCUCUCCACCUCCUCCAGUCCUUCUGGGGUCUCAGGCCCCUCGACCCUGGCUUCCUAGGCAGCCUCCCUUGCCCUGCAUGGAGCUGGCACUUUGCAUUCUGUUCAGCAAUCCCUUUGUUCACGGCACACAGAAACCCAGCCUGCUAGUCAGAGCGGAGCUCCAUCCCAUAAUAAACAGCAUGAACUAUUUAUAACCCUGAAAACAUCUUUAUUAUUAUUUUUCUUCCCUCCAGAAACAAUCUCACACAAUCCUGUUAAGCACACACCACCAAGGAAUGGCGGGCCUCGGGACGGGGCUGCUUCCCCCCGGCCCUGCCCAGCCGAGCAGAUGGCGGCGUGGGCGGUAGGUACCAGCCUCCUGGCAAUCCGAACAUCUGUUCCCGUUAGAAAAUGCUAAUUGCCAUCAAUCAGGACAGCACCUACCCACAUUUACAUGCAAGCGCACAUGCAAAAAAAAAAAAUCUAAAUUUCUCCCAGCGAUGCACUGCUUGCAUGUUAACUAGCCAGAGUAGCCUGAGGGCGGCUGGGCCAAAGGCUGCCACCAUAGCCUGCCAGCCUUACAGGCCCUACCCAGACUCCAACCACGGUAACGAUAAUGGAGUUGCUCUGUAGGUAGCCUGGUUACAGGCUCUGUGGAUUCUCAUCGGCUUGGUCCAGGGUGGACACGGAGCCAUUGACUUAAGGCAUGGCAGUCGCACCUGUGCAAGGGAGCCACCCUGGCUCCGUUGUCGCUCUGAGUAUCCACUCCAUGCAGCUUUCUAAUUGGAUCUGGCUUCUGCCCCAUGGCCCUCUGUAAGGGAAGGUUCUGGGUCUCUCUGCCAUAAUUCCCAGUACCAACCUGGCCUGAUGUUCCCACCCAGAUGCUUGGUCUGGAGACACGUCGGUGUUCCAGAGACAUCAACUGUUCUCAUGGUUGCUGAGAGUCUAAGCAGUGGGGUCACAGCCCAGGGCCAGCCUUUCCUGGCUAGCGUUUUCUACCUGGCUCUCGUGGCUACCUCCAUCCUCUAGUCUCCAGCCAGGGCUUGGACAAUCUAUCUCAUUCUUCCCUGGACACUGUUUGCCUGGUAAUCACGAGGCUUCCCUAGCCCCUGGUGAUAUGAGUUUGUCCUGAAAGCCAGGGAUGGAUGUGGGGGCUGCGCAAUCAAUCAAUCCAGCCCCUCGCAGGCUGUGGUGGAGAGGAGAAGGUGUGGUUUCCAUUCACACUCAGUCCUGGGGAGAGGAGAGCAGAGCCCCUCCCUCCACUCUCAGCUCCCCACAGGGCCUGGUGCCUCCCAACAACACAUGCAGACCAGCUGUUCCGCGGCACCUGGAGGGUCACCUCAGCUCCCAAUCAACCCUCGGCCUGAGGAUGUGAUCUGAACCUCAGAGAUUGUUCUAUUAUGUAACGAGAAGCCACGAGCCUCCUCACCCCAUCUCUCCAAAGGAAAGUGAUUUUGAUAAUUUUUCUCGAAGGUGCCAGGCGCUGUUGCCAGCCUUGGUUGCUAUGGGGCCUGGUGACUGGCUGCAGGGUAAACUAUUGGGAUUGGAAAAAAGGUUUCGAUGGGGAAGCACAGAGCUCCCCUCACCUGACAUGAGGGCCACAGCCGGUGGGAAGGACCUCCUAGGAUCAGACCUUGUAGGUGGGAGCCAGCCGCAGGGUGUUUCUGUGCUGGCCUCACUGUGAACACAGUACACUGCUGUCCUUGUGCACACCUGGGUCACAUGGUGCAUGGGAUGGCGAGUAUCUGUGUAAGUGGGACUGAUGGGCGGGGCUAGGAGAGGGGAGAGGGUGGGUCUUUGCCAGCUGUCUCUUUCUAACUGAUGUCUCUUCUAAAAAGAGAUCAUUCUUGUACCAACAACAUGCACAUGGAUGUCGGGGAAGUGAGGCCUCUAACCACAUACCUAUUAUCCCUCUCUCUCCACCAUCUUCCCAGCCAUCUAUCACUUACCAGGGACUGUGCAUCCCAGCUGUGUGCUGUCUGUGGUCACCAAGCCUGUCCCAUCUUCCCCCUCCUCCCCCCCCUCCCCACAGCCUCAGGCCUUGUCCCAGCAGUCGUCCACACUCAAUGGUAUGAGAUCCCCUGGCUUCUUGCCAGACUCUGGCAGCUAGGGCCUGCUUCCCAUGAUCCAUUUAACAACGCUCCUUGUGACUGUAGUUCAGAAGGCAGGGCUUCUCUCUAACAAGGGUGGAGACUUUGAGCAGGGUCUCUGGGAUGCUGUCUUCCUCCUCCCCUCCCCUCCCCUCCCCUCCCCUCCCCUCCCCUCCCCUCCCCACCUCUUCCUUCUUUCCCUUCCACCUCUUCCUCUUCUACUCCUGUCUCAGCCUCAGUUCCUUGCCUGUCCCGCCCAGGUUCCUGAUGUGAGGACCUGGAGGUCAUGAUGUGAGGUCAUGACAUGAUAGGAUGACAGACCUGUUCCCUGGCUUUCAGUUCCCGUGCCGCCAUCCCACCUUCGCUGUCUGUUUGGCUGAGUCUGGAGAGCUGAAGGAGGCCCCAGUGAAGCAUGAGAGACUCCAGCACAAGGAAGCAUGACCCAGAUCCUUGGCCUCCCCAGCCUGAGCCCCCAUAAUAGCUAAGACGAAGAGGGGGUAACAUUUUAAAUAUAAGCUCUACAAUUAUGAUACAAAUCAAUGGCUUCCAGGCAGACAGAUAGAAGGAUAGAUGACAGAUGCAUGUCUGCAUUCACGGGUAAAUGCCGGAUGGAUGAGAAGAUGGCAGGGAGACAGAGAAUAGGUAUGUGGUUAGAUGCAGGGGUAAGCAAAGGGGAUGAUGGAUAAAUAAAUAGAUGCACCAUCAUGGAAAACAGACACAUAGCUAAAUGGACAGACAGAAAUAUAAUAGAUACAUGGAUGGAUCAGUAAUAUCUAUAUACAAAUAUAGAUGGAUGCUAGACAUAUAUGUGCACAUGUAAAGAUAAUAAAUGUACAAGUGGAUGGAUAUACAGUCAGACAGUCAGAUAAUGCAUAAAUGCAUAUAUAAUUGAUGGGUAGGUAGUUGGGUGGAUGGAUGGGUGGAGAGAUGGGUGAGAGGGUGGAUGGAUGGAUGGAUGGGUAGAUAGAUAGGUGGAUGGAUGAUGGGUGGAUGGUUGGAUAGGUGGAUGGGUGAAUGGAUGGAUGGAUGGAUGGAUGGAUGGGUGGAUGGGUAAGAGGAUGGAUGGGUAGAUGGAUGGAUGAUGGGUGAUGGAUGGUUGGAUAGGUGGAUGGGUGGAUAGGUAGAUGGAUGGAUGGAUGGAUGAAUGGAUGGGCAGAUGGGUGGAAGGGUAAAUGGAUAGAUUGAUGGGUGGAUGAAUGGGUGGGUGGAUGGGUAGGAAAGUGAGUAGAUGUGUAGAUGUAUGGAUGAUAGCUUAAUGAACAGAUGAGUGAUUGGAAGAAGCAGAGGCAAAAAGAUAGAGAUGGAGUAGGUCCCACAAAACACUCCUUUUCCUCAUGUCUACUUUAUAGCUCACUUCAGAAGAAGUGGUCUGGAAUCUAGGGUAGAGAUGGAUAGGUGGACCAAAGGUUCAAGCUCAGAUUAACCUUCAUGGGCACAAGGCACCUGACACUUGUACUAGGUUGGCCCUAGUCCAGGAUGGUGCCCCUCCUUUUUGUGCAGCCCCAGGGACAAUCUCUAACCUGAGGGCUGAUGUACCUGGGAAUAGUGUUCCCUCACCAUGUAAGUCACCUCGACCUGCCUAGUGAUCUGACCAGGACUGCUGCACCCUGGUCAGGCCUCACUCUCCAGCACCAUGUCUCUAACAGACACUUGGCCUUGCUCUCAGAGCACAAUUAGUGUGGGGGUGAGGCUAUGAUCAGUGUUAGGAUGAUUUUGGGUUACUUUAGUGUUGCGAUCAGGUUAGGGUUAAGGUCACAUUUAGGUAAAGAUUGAGUUAAGGUCGGGCUAUGAUUAGGUUUAUGGCUAGAUUGGCACUAGUAACUCAUGGUUAGGGUUAGUUUAUUGGAUUAGGGUUAGGUUAGGUUAGGUUAGGUUAGGGUUGGAUUAGGGUUAGAGCUAUGGGUAGGACUAGUAUCUUGUUAGAUUCACAUUAGGGUUGGAGUUAAAGUUCAGAUUGGUUUAGGGUUAUGGUUGAUCUCCAGUUAGGUUAAUCCUUGGCUAAAGUUGGAUUGUGUUUACUAUUCGGAUUACGUUAUGUUACAGUUAGAAUUAGAGUUUGGGUUACUGUUUGUGCUAGGUUAGGGUUAGGGAGUAGGGUUAGGGUUAAGAUAGGGUUAGUUUAGGAUUUGAGCUAAGUUAACAUUGGGUUUAGGGUUAAUUCGAGGUUAUGGGUAGAGAUUAGUGUUACUGUUAGGUUUGGGUCAGUUUUGGUGUUAGAGUUAAUGUCUGGGUUGUUUCAGGACUAUUUUUUGUUGAGUAUAGAGCUAGGUUAGGUUAGGUUACAGCUGUGGUUAGGAUAGGGUCUCCUAUGGUGUUAGCAUAGAAAUAGGUUCUGCUCACAUUGAGAACUAUGUUAAAGUAGAGUUCUGUAGGACUGGGAUGUUGUGCUAUACUUAGAGUUAUACAUACAUCUAGGCUCUGGAUAUGGUUAGAGUUAGGUUAGGAUUAUGGCUAUAGGGUGACUAGGGCUUGGUUAGAAUUAGUGCUAAUUAUAUUGACCUAGGGUUAGUUUUAGUGUUGCUGUUUGCUUAGGUUUGGCUCCAAGCUUUGCCCCCUCUUUUUCUCCCCCUUCCCCUCCACCUCCCCUCUUUCUGACUCUGUUUCUGUCUCUGUCUCCCCCUCUCCCUCCCCUUCUCCCCCCCCCCCUCUCUCUCUCUGGCACAUCCUUAGUCAUUGCCUGCUUGCUCACUGCUCUUUGUGCCCUGUAGGCUGUGUUGAUCUUACUGUCUAGCUCUCUUCUCUUGUCUCCUCUAUAUGUAGCCGAACCUCAUCUCUGAAACAUUGUCUCCUUGUCUGAGUGUUUCCUGAUGGGCCCUUCUCCAUUUGGACCAGGGGUUCUGAGCCAGUGCCAGUGUACCCAGGACCCAUGAUUAAAUAUGAAUGGAGUCUGGUGGGUGGCCUGGUGUGGGGAGGGAAUGGGUCACCCUUCCUCCUUCAGAUUCUGCAGGCCCUCGCUCUUGCAUGACCUCAUGCUUCCGGUGUACUUGGAGUCAUAACUGAGCCCAGCAUGGGGGUUCCCACUCAUCUAUGUUCCAAGACCAUAGGCUUUACAGAAAACCUGUACUUGGUCCCUCCUGCAUCACCCUGACACUUAGCCCACACUCACAGGAAAAUUCCCCUCCAGAGAUGAAAGGCUCUGUGAAACUGCAAGUGGCAAGCUCUGUUUUCAUCUCACUCCCUUCCCGUGGAUUCCUUCCUCAGCCAUGCACCUCCACGAAUUCCAUGCUGUAGCCUUGCCCUACUCGGUACAGGGUGAAGAUGAGAAUCUUACCAGUAGAUACCACAGCUGGUAGGUGAGGUAGGCUUGGAGUGCCUGUGUUCACAUGACUGCUAUUCUCUAUGGGACUUCUUUAAAAUGUCACAGUAUCGUAUAUAGCCUGGUAAAAUGUCAUGUGGAGAUAUUAUUUACAUUCUUCUAGUCUAGGCCACCCUUCAACACACAACUCCCAUAGCAACUCUCCCAUGCAUCCCUACGAGGGGUUCUCAAACUGGGGUCCCAUCCCCUCCCCAUCCUUGUCCCUCGAGGACAUAGGAUGAGGAGGCAGAUCACUCAUAGGUUAACAAUUGCAUCUGUCUAAAGCAUUGCCUUUAGUUGAACGUGUUGUGAGAGGAUGUUGUAACAUUACAGCCAGCAAAGGUACACAGUGGGUUCCAUGUAAGAUGUGCAUGUGUUUUUAAGAUAACAAAUACGAUUUCAGGGAAAUGCCAUACUUCCUUUGACUUGCUUCUGGAAGCAGAUGCCCGGUUCCCCGGGGGUAGGGUUUUAAUAUUCCCCCCUCUUUGGGAGCCCUCAGAGGGAAAAUGCACACCUCCAGCAUGGUGCCACAUGCCUCUCCAUCAUCCACGACAAGCCAUUUAAUCUCCUCUCCCCUGUGCACAGCCCAUCACGUGCAGCGUGUGUUCCAGCUCUGAGAGACACCUAUGUGUUCACCACAAAAUAACAUCAUCCUCUUCCGUUAUACACCAUAAAGGGGGGAAACCAGGCAGAACUGAGAUCUCAGCCUGUGCCAGCAAAAGUCCUAGGCAUCGAUGCAAACAAAGUGGAGAGAGCCUCGAGUCCUAGGAUUCCCCCAUGAUACAUACCAGGAAGAAGUGCCUCCUGGGAACAGGGUCUCCCCGGGGAAGCUCAAAGAACAAAGGUAGGAUGGCAGCCGAUGCCUGCAAACCCAGCACUCAGGAGACUGAGGCAGGAAGAUUGCCAGGAAUUCAAGGCCAGUCUGGGCUACAGAGUGAGAGCCUUCCUCAAUGAUAAGGUACAAAACAGUAUAGCUACAGAAGCAUGAUAGUAUCCUUUCAAAGAUGAUUUUAAGAAGGGCCAUCAUGGGGAACUAUCAUACACACACAGCUACAUUCAGAGAAGCAGAAGUCAGCACCAUGAUAGACCGAAGGACUGAGGAGGAGGAGGAGGAGGAGAAGGAGGAGGAGGAGGAGGAGGAGGAAAAAGAGGAAGAGGAGGAAAAAGAGGAAGAAGAGGGAGUCAGGACCAGACAACUUGACCACAUUAAAAGGUCACCCAGUGCCAGCUGUGGUCACCUUCCCACUACCAUGGGCAGCAGAGGACAAAGAGCCAAGAAAACUUGUCAUCUCUCUCAGGUGUCUAACCCCAAAGCAUGUGUGGCAAGUGGACAGUGCCACCAGAUAGAAGAUCUGGUAAGGAUGAGUGAGCCCAAUCCCUGUGAAAUUCAGAAUUGAGUAUGGUGGGCAUGGGGGCAGGUCCCUGCCAAACUCUACCUGCUCUGGAACACACAUAACCACGACAUCCCACUGUGAGCACCGUGACAGUAGGGAAAACGCCCAAAGCCCUUCCCCAUGUAAAUAGAGCAUCAUUAGCAUCUCAGACUGAGCCAAUGGGAAGGAUCUACCCCUGGAUCCCACCUCAGUGUUUAUAUAUCCUUGUCCACGUGGAAUAAAGUUUACAAGUUAUUUCACCGAGAAUCACCUGAGAGUGGCAGAGAGAGAGAGACAGAGACAGACACAGAGACACAGAGACAGAGAGAGACAUGACAGACAAAGAGAGACAGAGACAGACAGACAGAGACAGAGAGACAGAGGGAGAGAGAGACAGAGACAAGACAGACAAAGAGAGACAGAGACAGAGAGAGACAGAGACACAGAGACAGAGAGAGACAAGACAGACAAAGAGAGACAGAGACAGAGAGACAGAGAGAGAGAGGGAGAGACAGAGAGACAGAGAGAGAGACACAGAGACAGAGAGAGACAAGACAGACAAAGAGAGACAGAGACAGACAGAGAGAGACAGAGAGAGAGUGAGAGAGAGGAGAGAGAGAGAGAGAGCACAGACAGUCAGAGAAGACACAAACAUGGCCUCUGGUAGGAUCUGUAAUCAAUUGAUCAUCCUUGGCCUGAGAGGGGCUGUUUUACUGAGCUAUAACACUUUAGGGAAGAGUUUUCUCUUCCAAAGCAAUCACCAUGGGCCUUGGACCUGCCUGGCUUGCCGGGCUCAUGCCCUUGCUGUCCUUGACGAUGGUGUUGCCACCACUGCCCCUGCCGCUGGUAUUGGUGCUGCUACAGCAGUGGGCAACACCUGGGACCCUGGCUCCCUGCCCCAUAUGGGCUUCCCUUCUGAGAGCUGUAACACUUUGGCCAUUUCCAACCAGACCAGGGGCCCACAGAACCCCUGGUUCCAUGGAGGGUGGCACACAUGAGCCUGCUGGGACUCAACCCACACACAUCACAGUAGCAAUGCUACGAAGGCAUAUCUUUUAAGGCCAGGUGUGGUGGUGUACACUUAUAACCCUUGCCCAGGUGUGGUGAUACACACCUUUAACCCCUGCCCAGGUGUGGGGGUGUACACCUAUAACCCCUGCCCAGGUGUGGGGGUAUACACCUAUAACCCCUGCCCAGGUGUGGUAGUGCACACCUAUAACCCCUGCCCAGGUGUGGUGAUACACACCUAUAACCCCUGCCCAGGUGUGGUAGUGCACACCUAUAACCCCUGCCCAGGUAUGGUAGUGCAUACCUAUAACCCCUGCCCAGGUGUGGGGGUAUACACCUAUAACCCCUGCCCAGGUGUGGUAGUGCACACCUAUAACCCCUGCCCAGGUGUGGUGAUACACACCUAUAACCCCUGCCCAGGUGUGGUAGUGCACACCUAUAACCCCUGCCCAGGUGUGGUAGUGCACACCUAUUACCCCUGCCCAGGUGUGGUAGUGCACACCUAUUACCCCUGCCCAGGUGUGGUGGUAAACGCCAAUAACCCCUGCCCAGGUGUGGUAGUGCACACCUAUAACCCCUGCCCAGGUGUGGUAGUGCACACCUAUAACCCCUGCCCAGGUGUGGUGAUACACAUCUAUAACCCCUGCCCAGGUGUGGUGGUAAACGCCAAUAACCCCUGCCCAGGUGUGGUGGUAAACGCCAAUAACUCCAUACUUGGGAUUAGGCAGAAGGGUUUGCUUUAAGCUGCAGCCAGCCUGGGCUACAGGGCAAAACCUUGACAAAAAUUAACUCCAAAUGUUGAGAUAAUUGAAAUAAUAGAAGACUCAUUAUUAGUUGUAAAAAAGAAUACAGCAGUGAAUUCUCAUGCACCUUCCUAGGAUCAACUAAAUUAUGUUUAAAAAUUCAUAUCCUAAGCCAAGUGUGGUGGAGCACGGCUUCAGUCUCAGCACUGAGGAGCUAAAGGCAGGCUAUCUUUGAAUGAUUGAGGCCAGACUACAUAGUGAGUUUCAGGCCAGCCAGGGCUACACACUGAGACUAUGUCUCAAAAAAAUGUUAAUUUACUAAAGUCCUAACCCUGGAUGUUUAGCCAGUGUAUUUGGAGACAAUCUGCAAGAGCUGAGGAGGGUUAGGCUCAGCACCAUGCAGGUCCUGGUGCAAUCUGACCACAAUUCCCAAGAGAUGAGAACAGACAGGAAAAGAGGGAAGACCCUAGGAAGUCGGAGAACACAGCUUCAUUCCAAGGGACGCUUGGAACCCAACCCUGCCAACACCUUAAUCUGAAGCUCUAAACUGCAGGGAAGUGAAUGUGUGGGGCCUUGGGGCCACAGUGUAGGCUGCUUGGCUCCAGGAGCCAUAGCCGACUCAAGACCUUCCCAUAAUGCUAAGCAGUCUAUGACCACAACCAGACCACCAUUCAGGUCACACGGGUAGCAACCAAACCUAGGCAAACACCAGCUUUGUGAGCCCUUUCAGAUCCUCUGCAGUUGUGGUUUUAAUUCCCGCAGGAAAGGCUAAUUUCUUAUUAGAUUUCACAGCGUUAAGAUUCCACUUUCAGUAUGUUGUAAAAGAAUAUAGAUGCUGAUUGCUAUGGUAGUUAGAAUGUGUGUCCCCACCAUCGUCACCACCACCACCACCAUCAUCACCACCACCACUUUUCAUAUGUUGGGAGCUUGAUCCCCAGUGAGGCAAUGUUUUGAGGUGGUGAGCUCUUUAGGAGGUGGGUCCCUAUGGGAAAUCCUUAGGUCAUUGGGGUCAUGACCUCAGAAAAGAUUAGGGUGGCUCUCAUGAGACCUUAACUCACAUCUUAUAAGCGUGAGCUAUGGUACAAGAAUCCCUCUCCCCUCUAACUUCCUGUCUGGACAUGUGACCUGUCCCUCCUGUGCACACAUCUGCCACUGUGAUAUCUCCCAGGUCUUCUUCAGAGAUGAGCCUGUGCCAGUACCAUACCCUUAAACCUCUAGUACUAGAUGAAUUUCUUGGCUUUAUAAAGUUGUCCAGGCUCAGAUAUUUAUCUAUAGAAAUAGAAAAUGGAUUGGUGCAUUGUUCUCAAGUGCAGUAUUCAAGCCCGGGGCCAGUAGCCAUGGCUCCCGGGGCCUAUGUGCAGACCUCACUUUGAGUGGUGUUGACCUGAGCCAUCCAGCACGCACGCUCUGAGUGUCAGUGUUGGAGGACUAGGGUGGGGCUUGAUUCUGACUGUUCCAGGGUUGUGGAUAGCCCUGGGGCUAAUUAUAUUAGUUGUUAAUUCCAUUCUCCUGUGAGGGGUUUCGAACAAGGUAUGAGUCAGCACUCGAGUGAUUUCCGGUAAACCUGCUUCCCACCUUAAUUGUAAAAUAAAGGAGAGCUAUGAUUGGGCAAACAAAGGGAAGGUGGAGCAGAAGGUUGGAAGAGAGAAGAAGGAGAAAAUGGAAGAGGGAGAGGACACAGAGGAGGAGGGGGAAGAAAGAAAAACAUAGCAGAAGCACACAGCCUAGAGAAACCACAGGUUCUAAGGGGUCUCAUCGAUGGGGAAGAUGCUAGUGUAGCAGUAGAUCUGCCCAAUCUAGGAGCACAGCACGUAUUCAUAUUAACUGAGUUGUGUUUUCAUUGCCGGGCAUAUUUGGGUUGGAGAUUUACUGUAACAUUCCAGUGCUCACAUUGUCCCGUGGUUCUGUUUUCUCAGAGUCGCGAUGUCUGACAAGGCAAUGUCACCCACAACCCUUGGAAUGAUGAAAAUUCCAGACAAGAUGGGCUGUACCUCACCAGCAGGUCACCUUGAGGUACCCCCAAGUCUUCUGCACUGUUCGGGGGGGGGGGCUCUGGGCCCAGGAGCUCCCCUCGUGGCAUGUCAGGAGCAUCCUAUUUGAUCUUUGUUGAACUUGAGUUCAGCUUUGAUUGCUCUCCCACCCUGCCAGGGUGCUUACAUCAUAAUUGGUGCCCAGUGGUAACUGCAGGAGUCCACAUCCUGCAAGCUUCCUGCCAAAGCUCAGCAGCAGCCAGUGGUGUAAGGUCAAGGAUGGAGCUGUCUGUCCCAGCAGAGGACAGGGUGACUGUCCCUCUUUUUUGUUUCCUCUUCUAUCACAUACAUGCAGGAACACACACAGUCACACAUAUACAUGCAUUGUGCACAUACAUAUACACACAACAUCUGCAUUUGCACACACAACACAUACAAACACACAUGCCCACAACAUAGUGUCAUCACACACACACACACACACACACACACACACACACACACACAAACUCACAUACACACAUUCACACACACACAAACACAGCUCAAGCCCAGCUUGCGCUGUCCCCUCUUCUGUGUUCUCCCUUCCUUGGGCCUCUGCCAGUCCCUCCUCUUCUGAACACAGGUGCCUUUGGAAGCUCCAGCCCUGAAAAACUUGCAAACCAUAACAAACGACUUUCUCCCAAUUGGUACACGCCCGCUGACGCUCACUCUCCGAGUGGAAUCACAGCUGUCCCUCUAACGGUGUGCUGUGUCUGUACAAAGAGACAGGAUGGAGAUUCUACGCAGCCAGACCCAGGGACUUUACCUUGGCUCCUGUCUGAGAGUCAUUCAGCGAGCCCCAUAUCUGACUCUCAGAUGACACGGAUAAGAGAGCCUCGUGGCUUUCCGUGAUAGGACCCUGCAAUCUCAGGAUGCAGACAGACCCACCAAGAACCACUCCUGUCUCUCUGUCCAGGGUAUGCCUUUUAGGUCACAACUUCUGCCCAUAAUUGUUGUGGGUCAGGGCUAUCCAUACCCCAGAAUGCUGUUCUGUGUUGACUCUAUCCUGAUGGACCAAGAUAGUUGCUCCCUGCCUUCUGUAAGCAGUGGCUCUCCCUGAAGAUAGCCCUGUCCACAGAUAGUUCAUCAUCUCGAUAGAAAGUGGGACACCUAGGCACAGAGAGGACUGAGACCAGUCUCCCUGUGGACGCUUGACUCUAACAGGUAAACCUGGAUGCGGCUCGGAGCUCCUACUCCUCCGAUCGCCUCUGUCCCCUCUCUCAGUGACAUUUAUUCUGUCUCCUGGAGCCCUCAUGGGCCUUCCAUGGGUUCCUCUGCUCUCUACCUCUUAGUCCCAGAGAUUCCACUGGGCCUUUUCCCAGCCCCCACCUCUGGCCUCUGUAUCUGCUGGGCCUGCUGCAGUCCUAACUCCCAACACUUAUCUGUCCAUUCAGAGACUGAGGUUCACUUCCUCCCGCGCCAGGGACCCUCCCUCCCUCCCUUGCUCAGCACCCCCCCCCAACUUCCUCCAGGAUGCUCUCUUCAGUCCUUUAUGAGGCCUUGCAUGACAGGGCCCCAGUUUCUCUCUCCUGUAUGAGAGGAUGUGCUCGGAAUCACGUGACGCACAGGAUAUUGUUAGGGUGAGAUGAAGGUGCAGCCACUUCGCUCUUAACUGGCUCUCAAGACGGUUUCAGGACUAAGCAUAUCACAACUCACUGGAUAAAGUGCUUCCUGUGCAGGUUUGAGGAUUCAAAUGCACAUGAGAGCCAGGCAGAUGUGGCCGUCUCCCAGAAUCCCAGCCCUCAGGAGGCAGAGACAGGGGAACCCUGGAGCAAGCUGGCUAACCCACAUGCAUGCAAACACCCAGAUAGACAGACAUACAACCAGCAACCAUGGAGGAUACUGAAUUGAGAAUUGUGUUCCCCAAAGGCAGUCACAUCCUAGCUCCCAAUCCUUGUGAUAGAACACACAUGAAAACAGGAACUUCAUAGGCACCAUCCAGUUAGGGGGAGUCUGUGCUAAGCAGAGGCCAAAGACAUGGCAGAGUCCUUAAAGGAUGAAAGCAGGUAAAGUUAGGCACCAGACAGCACACAUGGGGGAGGCCAGGAUGGGAGAGAUGCAGACAUAAGCCACACGCACUGUGGCACUGCUACAGGAGUUCAGAAGGGAAUUGAUUGCCUCUGCAACUCUUGCUCUGGGGGUUCUGACCUCUGGGACAGAUCAAGAAUAAACAUCUCCUGUUUUAAACUACCUACGCAUUUAUGUGGGCUUGUAUGUAUGUAAAUCUGAUCUGUAUGUUUGCAUGCUUGUGGGCUAGCCAGCUUGCUCCAGGGAUCCCCUGUCUGCCUCCUGAUGGCUGGGAUUCUGUGAGACUGUUGCAGCCAUAGAACAGUAAGACACGGCCUGGUCACAACCAGCCAAUCUUCAGUUCGUGUGGCCACCCUGAUGCUCUGGGCCCCACCUCAGGGUCAUCCUGUCCCACCCCUCAUAACGAUUAGCAAAAGCCCAGAGAUGCCUUCCUCGUCCAGGGUGGGAGCCACACGUGGAACAGCCAAAUAGUUACUAAUGUUUUAACACCCUAGCAACUAAUGCAUUCUAAUUGGGCAACUUAACCCCAGAGUCAAGACCUGGGGAACUCCGGGAUCCUCUGUGACCCUUCCAGCCCCUUCCUAGCUCCACCACAGAGCUCCAAGCCACCAAGGAAAAAGUAAGGACCUGGUUUUCUACUCUUUAGGAAAGGUCGCAGCAACUCCAACAAGCGGUUUUAUCCUUCAACCAACAAAUGCAAGGCCAGGAAGAGGACAAAGGAGAUGGUGCAGCCACCAAGGCCUGUGGGAGACAAUAUCACAAAUGCCACCAUGCCCUGUAACAUCUGUCUAGAAGCUGGCCCGGUAUCAGUUGCUUAGGAAUCAUCCCAAAGCCUGGAAGGUUUCAGACGAGAGUUCUCAUGGAGAAGACGGAAUCUCAGGAGCCUUCUUACCUCCCCUGAUGAGUCUUGGAUGUCAUGUGACUGUGAACCGUCCCGGACUACAGGGAAAGGAAGAGGACAAUGAGACCGAGCAUGGAGCUGGGCCAGCAGGUCUGGGAAGGAGGCAUAGAGAA